Molecule: ribosomal RNA, 459 nt
Filed under: uncultured bacterium
Lineage: Bacteria
Description: partial 16S ribosomal RNA
Rfam family: Bacterial small subunit ribosomal RNA
Source: RNAcentral
GAUGAACGCUGGCGGCGUGCCUAAUACAUGCAAGUCGAGCGGUAAGGCCCCUUCGGGGGUACACGAGCGGCGGACGGCUGAGUAACACGUAGGAACGUACCCCAAAGUGAGGGAUAAGCACCAGAAAUGGUGUCUAAUACCGCAUGUGCUCUAAGGAGUAAGGCUUCGGCGCUUUGGGAACGGCCUGCGCAUGAUUAGCUUGUUGGUGAGGUAAUGGCUCACCAAGGCGACGAUCAUUAGCUGGUCUGAGAGGAUGAUCAGCCAGACUGGGACUGAGACACGGCCCAGACUCCUACGGGAGGCAGCAGUAGGGAAUUUUCCACAAUGGGGGCAACCCUGAUGGAGCAACGCCGCGUGCAGGAUGAAGGCCUUCGGGUCGUAAACUGCUUUUAUAUGUGACGAAUAUGACGGUAGCAUAUGAAUAAGGAUCGGCUAACUCCGUGCCAGCAGCCGCGGUAA